GACGAACGCUGGCGGCGUGCCUAACACAUGCAAGUCGAACGGACGAGGGGAGGCUUGCUCCCUGAGUUAGUGGCGAACGGGUGAGUAACGCGUGAGGAACCUGCCUUUCAGUGGGGGACAACAGUUGGAAACGACUGCUAAUACCGCAUAACGCAGCUAGACCGCAUGGUCUUACUGGCCAAAGCUUUAUGUGCUGAAAGAUGGCCUCGCGUCUGAUUAGCUAGUUGGUGAGGUAACGGCUCACCAAGACGAUGAUCGGUAGCCGGACUGACGAGGUUGAACGGCCACAUUGGGACUGAGACACGGCCAGACUCCUACGGGAGGCAGCAGUGGGGGAUAUUGGCACAAUGGGCGAAAGCCUGAUGCAGCAACGCCGCGUGAGGGAAGACGGUUUUCGGAUUGUAAACCUA
RNAcentral lists this ribosomal RNA (410 nucleotides) under uncultured bacterium. RNAcentral's name for it is "bacterial SSU rRNA". It matches the Rfam family "Bacterial small subunit ribosomal RNA", at positions 28 to 433 of the family's 1533-position model. The record is from RNAcentral.